This 253-nucleotide unclassified non-coding RNA is filed under the name Glomeraceae sp. Its description in RNAcentral is "partial contains 5.8S ribosomal RNA and internal transcribed spacer 2". The stretch from base 1 to 65 matches the Rfam family "5.8S ribosomal RNA", at positions 84 to 154 of the family's 154-position model. The record is from RNAcentral. Lineage: Eukaryota; Fungi; Glomeromycota; Glomeromycetes; Glomerales; Glomeraceae.
GUGAAUCAUCAAAUUUUUGAACGCAAAUUGCACUCUCCUCGUAGAGUAUGCCUGUUUGAGGGUCAGCCUAUAAAAAAUCUACAUCGUUACUGUUUCACGGUGACGUUCGUCGGAGCUUUGGUCAUCUUAGAUCCUUGUGAUUUAAGCGACUUAAACUUGUCUGUUGGUUCCAUGAACGUUUCUAUGAUUUAUUUCUUUACUCGUUUACGGGUAUCGAUUUUUAUUAGACGUGGACGUCAUAUCGGAUCUCGUC